This is a long non-coding RNA of Pipistrellus kuhlii (Kuhl's pipistrelle), 1062 nucleotides long. RefSeq lists it as uncharacterized. NCBI's taxonomy places the organism in Eukaryota, Metazoa, Chordata, Mammalia, Chiroptera, Vespertilionidae. The transcript is spliced from 2 exons. The record is from RefSeq and is a predicted model, not a curated record.
UUUAAUCAAAAUAAAGUCUUUGAGUGAAACUUACUUUAAAUCUCUCCGAAAAUACUACUUGCAAUGUUAAAAACAAUUUUUUUUCUUUAUCCUACAGCUCUGCUUUCUCUGGAGGUGGUAGUUCUGUUAAUUUUUUUCUUUAUGUUACCAAUGUUUUCUGGUGCCUCACAAUCCUUGCUUGAACAUUGAAGGACAAGGGCCCCAGGCUUUGCUGACCAGUUCCUCAUCCUACGAGUCAUCUUCUGCUUUCAUAGCCUUCCCUCGGUCCCCCGGCAGCCACUCUGCACCUACUGUUUCCCCGUCAAGCUGCACCUUCCCGGACAGCCAGGGGACGAUGACUGGCUCUCGCAGGUUUGAUUGUCACACCUUACAUGUCACUGCUCAGAUCCAAUCCCAAUGGAUUAUUUGGUGCGCUGACAUUUGUGGGCAACAGAGUGAUCUGUAAAAUAAUAAAUAUUGUGCAAAAAGCAUACAAACCCUUUUGAGGCUUGUGAAGUGCCCAUUGUUCUCCCUGCAGCCAGGGUAAACAUCCCCUGCUCCUUUCCCCACCGAGAGGCCACAGUGCGGUCAAUAACCAGCUACAAAGAAGUCUGAGUUGGGAAGGGCGCAGAGGCAGGCUCUGCCGUAGACAUGACUGCACAGAGCAAAGCUACAGCCUCCGCUGGAGAUCAUGUGCACACUCCAUGGCCCUGCCGAUGCCUGCUGAUAGGCAAAGCCCGUCACCUGUCCUCAGUCACCCACACUGUGAGCCUCAGCUCUCGGGGAAGCGACCAGGUGGCCACAGGGGUUCUGGGAAGGCUGCCCCUGCAGCCCAGAGAACCUCAGGUGGGAGAGAGGUGUUGUGGAGUAGAGGAGGGACCUGAGAGUCAGGUGGCAAGAAACCUUAUACACUCAAAGCGAACACAUUGUGUGUUAUGUUAGGAUGGUGGUCACCCCGAGGGGUAGUGACUGGAAAGAGGGCUGUGUAGGGCUUCUGGGGGCUGGUGCUAUUCUGUUCCUUGGAUUGGGAGCUGUUCUCCAGAGAGGGGUUCAGAUUCUUAAAACCCAUCAGACUGUAUACUU